UACGGAGGGUGCGAGCGUUAAUCGGAUUUACUGGGCGUAAAGCGCGCGUAGGUGGUUUGGCAAGUUGGAUGUGAAAGCCCUGGGCUUAACCUAGGAAUUGCAUCCAAAACUUCCAGGCUAGAGUGCAGCAGAGGAUGGUGGAAUUCCCGGUGUAGCGGUGAAAUGCGUAGAUAUCGGGAGGAACAUCAGUGGCGAAGGCGACUGUCUGGGCUGACACUGACACUGAGGUGCGAAAGCGUGGGUAGCAAACAGG
Molecule: ribosomal RNA, 253 nt
Filed under: uncultured bacterium
Lineage: Bacteria
Description: partial 16S ribosomal RNA
Rfam family: Bacterial small subunit ribosomal RNA
Source: RNAcentral